GACGAACGCUGGCGGCGUGCCUAAUACAUGCAAGUCGAACGCUUUUUCUUUCACCGGAGCUUGCUCCACCGAAAGAAAAAGAGUGGCGAACGGGUGAAUAACACGUGGGUAACCUGCCCAUCAGAAGGGGAUAACACUUGGAAACAGGUGCUAAUACCGUAUAACAAUCGAAGCCGCAUGGUUUUGAUUUGAAAGGCGCUUUCGGGUGUCGCUGAUGGAUGGACCCGCGGUGCAUUAGCUAGUUGGUGAGGUAACGGCUCACCAAGGCGACGAUGCAUAGCCGACCUGAGAGGGUGAUCGGCCACAUUGGGACUGAGACACGGCCCAAACUCCUACGGGAGGCAGCAGUAGGGAAUCUUCGGCAAUGGACGAAAGUCUGACCGAGCAACGCCGCGUGAGUGAAGAAGGUUUUCGGAUCGUAAAACUCUGUUGUUAGAGAAGAACAAGGAUGAGAGUAACUGUUCAUCCCUUGACGGUAUCUAACCAGAAAGCCACGGCUAACUACGUGCCAGCCGCCGCUGUAA
RNAcentral lists this ribosomal RNA (524 nucleotides) under uncultured bacterium. RNAcentral describes it as "partial 16S ribosomal RNA". It matches the Rfam family "Bacterial small subunit ribosomal RNA", at positions 28 to 523 of the family's 1533-position model. The record is from RNAcentral.